AGUUUGGGGCUGAUGAGAAAUGUUUGGAAGUCUUCAAAGGAAGAGAGAUGGACUCUCUGCCCGGGAAGGCGCCUCUGCUCCCUCUGGCCUGACUCACAAAGGGAGCAGCAAACUGGCCUGAAGACGAUGAUUGAGUGGGUCUGACCAAGAUAAUUACCCCAGUUACAGAAGCAGCCGUGAGGUUUUGUGCGUCUCCUGCUCACUCCCUUCAAGAGCCCCUUCCCUCAUUUACGUCCUUACCCAUGUCCUGUGGGGAAGAGGAUGGUAUAGGGAUCUCCUAGUCUGGAGGAGAUGGAGGAGGAGCAGAUUCAGACCCUGCCUUAAAAAAGAAGCAAUGGAUCCAGGCCUGCCCUCAGGAAGUUUCUCUUCAGACCGUGGAGAACAAAGUUACAAUUCAAUUCAACAAAACAUUCACAAAGAAGAGGACAGAAUAAAACAGAAAUACAAAAAAUCCUUCUCUUCUUUAUUUUCAACCAGAGUAUCCUCUUGGCCCCAGAUCUGUUAUUAAAAUGGUUUUCUCAUUAAGAAAGCUUUCUUCUCUGCAGAGAGGGGCUCUCAUACCUGGCAACUGCUAAUCCCCAGAGACAGACUUUUCCUUUCAGCCUCAACCUUCACAGUUGGUUCUAAAGACUUGUCCAGUUCUGCCUGUCACAGAACUGUUAGUAAAAACACUUAACCCAGUUAACUCCUC
RNAcentral lists this long non-coding RNA (691 nucleotides) under Sarcophilus harrisii (Tasmanian devil). RNAcentral describes it as "lncRNA (ENSSHAG00000030523.1)". The record is from RNAcentral. Lineage: Eukaryota; Metazoa; Chordata; Mammalia; Dasyuromorphia; Dasyuridae.